AUCUGGUCCUAACAGAUGACAGUCUACAUUCACAUGUGACGCAAAUAGCGCGCUGUUUACCGUAAGCUAAGUCAUUCGAUUGAAGUUGUAUGAUAAGCCUUCGAGUAGCCAUCAUACAGACGGAAGGUUGUCAUUGUGAAAUAAGGAAACCAGCUAACAUGCUGAGACACAUCCAGAUUCAUACCAUUGCAAGCAGAAAAGCAGCAGUGGAUUUGAUCCAGAAUGGGUUAGUCAGAGGAAUCAGUCAAAGUCUACAGUGCCGUAGGCCCGAAGUAGAACUAACGUCUGUUCGUUAUCCUGGCGUCCGGCGAGGCAACUAUGCCCAGCUAAGCGACAGACAUGUGCAGCAUUUUCGAAGUAUCUUGCCCAAGGAGAGGGUCAUAACAGAAACAGAAGAUGUAGCGGGCUAUAAUGUUGACUGGUUAAGAAUGGUUCGAGGUGUCAGCCAGAUUGUGCUGAAACCCAAGAUUACAGAGGAGGUGUCGGCAAUACUCGAGUACUGCAAUGCCGAGAACUUGGCAGUGUGUCCACAGGGUGGAAACACUGGGCUGGUUGGCGGCAGCGUGCCCGUGUUUGAUGAAGUCAUCAUCUCCACCAGUCUCAUGAACAGCAUAGUCAGUCUGGAUGAACUCUCGGGUAUUUUGGUGUGCCAGGCUGGUUGUAUUCUGGAAAAUUUGGAAUCUUAUCUUUCUGAACGAGGUUUUAUGAUGCCUCUAGACUUGGGAGCCAAGGGGACCUGUCAGAUUGGAGGAAAUGUAUCUACCAAUGCUGGGGGAAUCCGGUUGAUUCGCUAUGGCAGUCUUCAGGGUAGUGUAUUAGGUAUUGAGGCGGUGAAAGCAGAUGGUGAAGUGAUAGACUGCUUGAGCUCGCUGAAGAAAGAUAAUACAGGCUAUCAUCUUAAGCACUUGUUUAUUGGAUCAGAGGGCACGCUGGGAAUUGUCACCAAGGUGUCCAUCCAGUGUCCACCAAGUCCCAAGGCAGUUAAUGUUGCUUUUCUGGGCUUGGACUCAUUUGACGAUAUUUUGCGCACGUUCACGGAAGCUCGGAGUGGGUUGGGUGAAAUACUGUCUUCAUGUGAAAUGAUGGACUUGUUAUCUCUGGAUGCUGCAACAUCGAAUCUCAAACUUCAGCGACCAAUUGGAGAGUUUCCAUUCUACAUGCUGAUAGAGACAUCUGGUAGCAAUGGAACACAUGAUGAGGAGAAGCUGACCAAAUUCUUGGAGACGCUGAUGGCUAAUGGUGUUGUUCGUGAUGGGACUGUGGCCAGUGAGCCAUCUAGGAUAAAGUUAAUGUGGAACCUUCGGGAAGGGAUAACUGGAGGCUUGCUUCAUGAUGGUUAUGUGUACAAGUAUGACAUCUCACUGCCUCACAAUAGCUUCUAUGCCAUCAUUCCUGAACUCAGAACACUCUUACCGGCUGAUAAGGUGGGGCGGAUAUGUGGCUAUGGUCAUGUAGGGGAUGGCAACCUGCAUUUAAACAUUACCACUCCAAAAUUUGACCCUGAUGUCCUGAAAAUUAUUGAGCCAUUUGUGUUCGAGUGGACUUCUAAGCUGAAGGGAAGCGUGAGUGCUGAGCAUGGCAUUGGCUUCAAGAAGACGCAAUACAUCCACUUUUCCAAGUCACAGAGUUCACUUAACCUAAUGGUUAACAUCAAGAAGCUCAUGGACCCAAAAGGUAUUCUGAACCCCUACAAGGUUCUACCAGCACAACACUGAGAUCCGUGCCCAAGCACUGUGUGUCCAGAUUUGACGUCAGAUGAUGUUACAUCCUGCAGAAUAUUGCGUUUUAAAUACUGAUGCCCAGGAAAGCUGGAGGCUUACUUCUUAGGGUGUUCAGUUACUUCAAGCAUGAGAGCUGUACACAGUACUGUCAUGUCAGAAGAACACUUUCGAUGCAUACUGUACCAAGCUUUGGAAGAUCUUGCAACUUCACUUGCCUAGCCGUGUCUAUCCGAACAUGAUAGAUCACGAAGAUUGCUCGUCUUCUCGGUUGUUGCGCCACGUAGUCUGGUAGAAGUUUACCGACGUUUCAGAGGUCCUUACUGCCUCCACCAUCAGGCCCCUGAUGUUGGAAGCAGCAAGGACUCUGAAACGUCAGUAAACUCCUACCAGACUACACGGCGCAACAACCCAGAAGACAGAAAUCUUCAGACUCACCAUCAUGAAAACCUCAAACAUAUGUGAUAGUUCACAUUUCAGUUGCUUAUAGGUUAUUAUUUUCACUGUUUCGUUGCGUUACAUUUGAAAACAAUAUCCAUGUAACCACAGUAUUGAAAUGCUAUUUUAUUUCAUCACCAGGUUUGUUCGUAAAAUUUACAGUAAAUCAGUGUGGACAAACAGAUACGUCAGAAAAGUUCUGAUGGGGUAGGAUUAGGAUUAGUCCCUUCUAUCAGACCCAACAGAAUAGGCAUUUUUACGAGAAGAUGGAAGCAGGACCAAGUCCCAAAAUGUAGUCAUCUUGUUUUAUAAUUCUGAAUGAUGGAUGAAGCCCAGAAAAAGAGCAAUAUUUAAUGGAAGGAACUGGACUUAGCAACACUGGAUUAUACAUAGUGGGUUGGAGAUGAAAUUUUUUUCAGGUUAUGUUGGUUGAGGUGUAAAAGACCAAAGUUAUUUUGUGCUCAAUAUACAAUAUACACAAUUUGUAACAUGUAAAUAUUUUACAUUGCUGUAUCUGAAUAUUACAGAAUUUAUAUUCAUAUGUACUGUAGUCAGCUGUAACAUGAUUUGACGCUCUGACAAUAAAGAACCUGAAAGUUGAAUGCA
This is an RNA transcript of Zootermopsis nevadensis, 2762 nucleotides long. It is a transcript of the gene named D-2-hydroxyglutaric acid dehydrogenase, with no coding region annotated. The record is from RefSeq and is a predicted model, not a curated record. NCBI's taxonomy places the organism in Eukaryota, Metazoa, Arthropoda, Insecta, Blattodea, Termopsidae.